RNAcentral lists this ribosomal RNA (410 nucleotides) under uncultured Bacillus sp. RNAcentral describes it as "bacterial SSU rRNA". It matches the Rfam family "Bacterial small subunit ribosomal RNA", at positions 9 to 409 of the family's 1533-position model. The record is from RNAcentral. Lineage: Bacteria; Bacillati; Bacillota; Bacilli; Caryophanales; Bacillaceae.
GAGUUUGAUCCUGGCUCAGGACGAACGCUGGCGGCGUGCCUAAUACAUGCAAGUCGAGCGAAUCAAGAGGUGCUUGCACCUCUUGAUUAGCGGCGGACGGGUGAGUAACACGUGGGCAACCUGCCUGUAAGACUGGGAUAACUUCGGGAAACCGGAGCUAAUACCGGAUAAUCCCUUUCCACUCAUGUGGGAAAGCUGAAAGUCGGUUUACGCUGACACUUACAGAUGGGCCCGCGGCGCAUUAGCUAGUUGGUGAGGUAACGGCUCACCAAGGCGACGAUGCGUAGCCGACCUGAGAGGGUGAUCGGCCACACUGGGACUGAGACACGGCCCAGACCCCUACGGGAGGCAGCAGUAGGGAAUCUUCCGCAAUGGACGAAAGUCUGACGGAGCAACGCCGCGUGAGCGAU